AGAGUUUGAUCAUGGCUCAGAUUGAACGCUGGCGGCAGGCCUAACACAUGCAAGUCGAACGGUAGCAUAGAGAGCUUGCUCUCGGGUGACGAGUGGCGGACGGGUGAGUAAUGUCUGGGAAACUGCCUGAUGGAGGGGGAUAACUACUGGAAACGGUAGCUAAUACCGCAUAACGUCUUCGGACCAAAGUGGGGGACCUUCGGGCCUCACACCAUCGGAUGUGCCCAGAUGGGAUUAGCUAGUAGGUGGGGUAAUGGCUCACCUAGGCGACGAUCCCUAGCUGGUCUGAGAGGAUGACCAGCCACACUGGAACUGAGACACGGUCCAGACUCCUACGGGAGGCAGCAGUGGGGAAUAUUGCACAAUGGGCGCAAGCCUGAUGCAGCCAUGCCGCGUGUAUGAAGAAGGCCUUCGGGUUGUAAAGUACUUUCAGCGGGGAGGAAGGCGAUAAGGUUAAUAACCUUGUCGAUUGACGUUACCCGCAGAAGAAGCACCGGCUAACUCCGUGCCAGCAGCCGCGGUAAUACGGAGGGUGCAAGCGUUAAUCGGAAUUACUGGGCGUAAAGCGCACGCAGGCGGUCUGUCAAGUCAGAUGUGAAAUCCCCGGG
Molecule: ribosomal RNA, 608 nt
Filed under: uncultured deep-sea bacterium
Lineage: Bacteria
Description: bacterial SSU rRNA
Rfam family: Bacterial small subunit ribosomal RNA
Source: RNAcentral